AGAUAUUUCACACUUUCUUGUAGCCAUACCAAUUCAUACCUGCAUUGGUACUGCGUAAGCCUGCAUGUGGUCAGCUGACACCUUCAGCCAAUCACAGGCACCCAUUGCUGCACAGGCUAAUGCUUCUUCUGCAUCAAAGAGGUAUGGGUUGCUAGGGACUGAUAUUCAGCAUUAAAAUUUCUAAAACAGUUUAAUACCUAAUGGAAGGACAGUGCCAUGGGACUCCAGACACUAUAACCACUUCAAUGAGAAGAAGUUGUUAUGGUGCCUAAAGUGUGCCUUUCCUUAGCACAUUUCCAGAUGUUUGAAAAGUAUAACUAUGACGAACAUUCAAGUCAAAUGCUCACCACGUGAUUGUCAAAGGUUUAUGGCAAUUACAGUGCCUUAAUGACUGGAGUUCUAAUAUUCAGUGCCACCAACAAGAGAUGACAAAAGCAAGUUAUAAGGGUAGAUGUUUAUUUUUAUUUCAAACAGUGGUGCAGUGUACUAUUU
Molecule: non-coding RNA, 492 nt
Organism: Pelobates cultripes (western spadefoot toad)
Lineage: Eukaryota; Metazoa; Chordata; Amphibia; Anura; Pelobatidae
Source: the annotation of a GenBank genome assembly